AUUAAAAGUUUUAGUUUAAUUAAAAUUUUUCAAUUACACUGAAAGGAAUUAUAAAAUUAAUUUUUAAUA
Molecule: transfer RNA, 69 nt
Filed under: Megachile strupigera
Lineage: Eukaryota; Metazoa; Arthropoda; Insecta; Hymenoptera; Megachilidae
Description: tRNA-Val
Source: RNAcentral